RNAcentral lists this long non-coding RNA (2705 nucleotides) under Capsicum annuum. RNAcentral's name for it is "long non-coding RNA (CANN_LNC013232)". Lineage: Eukaryota; Viridiplantae; Streptophyta; Magnoliopsida; Solanales; Solanaceae. The record is from RNAcentral.
UGGAAUCUUCAGCUCCAACAUUUACAGUUCCUGCAGAAGCAUUAUCUGAUAAAUCGGGGGCCUUAGAAUGCAUUCUAGGGGAUAGAGUUGCAAGUAGUCCAUGAACUACUGAAUGGAUGGUCUCCUUUACUUCCAAGGAUGUUGGUUCUGAUAGCUCAGCAACCUUGCAUUGAUGUUGAUAAUGAGCAAAGCAAAAAAGAAAGGAAGACAAUAAGAUACGGAUAAGGAAGAUAUAAGCUUCCCAACUUCCAAUUAAGAAAGGGAGUGUGUGAACAAUCACGAGAUCAACUACAACUGUGGAAGCUAGAGAAAGCAUAGCAAGAGAUAGAAAACAUAGAGAAUUAAGUCGAGAAAACAAACUGCAUUGUUGAUUUGGUAGUAAAAUCAAUUAAUAUCAUAGGAAAAAAUAUCCUCCCAGCCUUAAAUAACGAAAUUAUGCAUAAGAAAAGAAGGGAUAGAAGAAGUGCAGCGCGUGAUGUGUGGGUUAAGCGCACACCAUAGAUUUAGUCCCCGUUUGGCCAUAAGCAUCCAUAAGCAUUUUUUACCUUUUUCUGGAAAAUUUUUCACUUAAUUCCAAAAAUGGUGUUUGGCCAUAAGAAUUCCAAAUACAACUCCCAACUUGGAGUUGUAUUUGGAAAAGUGAAAACAAGUUUCUUGUUUUCACUUUUUUAACUCCUACUUCUCUCACAAAAAUUCAAAAACAACUUCAAUUCAUAUUCAUGGCCAAACACAACAACUUCAAAAAAUUGUGAUUUUCAUGGUCAAACACCUACUUAAACCCUGUCACGUACAAAACUCCGAUAUUGAAGUGGAGAAAGGUACACGGUCAGGCCCAUUAUCCAUGGAGUUUUGAACCAUGCGCCACUAACCCUCGGGGAUUUCUUGAAUAUCAAAUAGAGAAAAAUAAAGAAGGGGGGAGAGAAACAUCUUUUUUCUAUUCUUGAUAUGAACAAAAGAGAAGCUGUGAAAUUCUUAAUUCUUUCUCUAGUAGAAAGAAGAAUUUGAGUAGACGGUAUUUCACUUUAAAUCCCACAUAUAUAUUUUCAACAUCGUCCAUAACUCUAUUGUUUCUUUUAGAGAAAGGGAAAGUCCAACCUAAUAAGGUCCUAUUUCAUUAUGAAACUUAAGGUUUUUUCACAACCUUAACCGCGCUUUCUAUCCCAAAAAUUCAUCGAAAAAUAAGCUUGUAACAAAAGAUCUCUCUUAAAUUGCUUCAUUAACUUUCUGUUCCAUCACAUCCACAUCAGUAAGUCAACAAGAAGUCUAUUUUCUUUUUUUUGGGGGGUGGGGGGUGGGGCGUUGACAAGAACUCUAGUAUCCAAGCAGAUUAAUGGAAAACAAAGUUGGAGCCGUGGAACACCUUCCCUGUAAUGUUUUGAAUCUGUCACCUCCCUUGGAUAUCUUUUCACAUACAUAAAAGGUUUAUGCAAAAGAUCCAUAUAGGUAACUAUUAGGGUUAAGCUUAGUCGUUCUUUAAAAUCUGGAGGGUUGAGCUUAGUCGUGUUGGUAGGCUUACAUCAGGUUUAGCGUUUGCUAAGAGUCAUUAGCGGCCUUUUUAAUCUUUUUAUUGAUUCAUAUGUCAGUAGAAAAUAUAUGUCAUCUUGUUCCAUGCUUUAUUACGGAUUUGUUUAUUAUUCCUUGUCUUGAGCCGGGGGUCUAUCGGAAACAGCCUUUCUACUUCUCCGGAGGUAGCAGUAUGGACUGCGUACAUCUUACCCUCCCCAGACCCCACUAUGUGGGAAUACACUGGGUUUGUUGUUGUUGUUGUAUAUGUCAGUAGAAAAUAUAAAGAACCUCUUGAAAAUUGGAACAGAAAGGCUCCAAAUGGACGAAAUGCAUAGUGAAAUUCAUACAGCAAACCCCAACAAGCUUGAUUUGAGACGUAGUAGUUGUCAUUGUAGUAGUAUAAACUGCUUAUGCAGUCAUAAGUAAGGACAGCUGAAUCUUAUACAGAAAGAGAGCAAUUUACCUUCUCCGGAAGCAAUGAUCUCAAGUAGUCCAAUAACUCAUUCUUCUCCUCACCUACAAAUUGUUGCAUCUGAAGUGCUGCACUUUUCGUCUUAACUUCACAGAGUUCCUUCCACACAUAAAAACCACAGACAGGUCAAUUUAAUGUUCAGACAAGAUGAAGCAAGAAAUAUAUAUGACAACUAGCAAGCAGUUUUGGCGGUAAACCCUACAAUUAGAGGGGACUAAACCAUGAAUAUAAUGUGUAUUCACUCUUUUCUGCUGGAGCAACCAACAUACUGUAAAUAACUUUGAUCAGUUUUUUAACUCUGGCAGUCCCCUAGUAAGUAUGCAGGAAGAUCUCUACUGGAGCUAACCCAUUUGACUUUUGCAUGUAUUUUCAGGAUCUACUGGAUGCAGUCUUAAUGAAAUUUUACUUGAUAAAAAAGAUUAGAUGGUGCAUACACUGGCAAGCUAAUUCUACCUUUUUGUAAGAUGCUAAGCGAGACUGUAGGUCUAAUAUGUAUUGCUGAGCUUCAGGGGUCAUUUUACCAACGUCUGGAAUAUCAGAUGAAAGUUCACUCUUUCCUUCUGAUGUUGGUUGUUUAGGUUCUGAUUUUUUGCUCGAUAUAUUCUCCUUCAACAAUGUUUCAUCUCCAACUAUAGAAUCUUCAGGCUUUUGUCUACCAAUGUUUCCAUCAUAUAUUUCAAGGUUCUUUUCAAGACAAAGCCUGUACUCAGCAUUUCGAAGUGUAUAC